ACGUCCUGCCCGUGAUCGUCUUCUCACCUUUCACGCAGGCAGGCGGAGAGAAGGAGGGCCCCCGCGAGGACGUGACUCGCGGGGGCCCUCC
This 91-nucleotide non-coding RNA is filed under the name Streptomyces collinus Tu 365. RNAcentral describes it as "sodF sRNA". It matches the Rfam family "sodF sRNA". From Rfam's summary of the family: Identified in Streptomyces coelicolor. It is produced from sodF mRNA by cleavage of about 90 nucleotides from its 3'UTR. Lineage: Bacteria; Bacillati; Actinomycetota; Actinomycetes; Kitasatosporales; Streptomycetaceae. The record is from Rfam by way of RNAcentral.